CCUACGGGAGGCAGCAGUGGGGAAUUUUGGACAAUGGGCGAAAGCCUGAUCCAGCAAUGCCGCGUGAGUGAAGAAGGCCUUCGGGUUGUAAAGCUCUUUUGUCAGGGAAGAAACGGUGAGGGCUAAUAUCUCUUGCUAAUGACGGUACCUGAAGAAUAAGCACCGGCUAACUACGUGCCAGCAGCCGCGGUAAUACGUAGGGUGCAAGCGUUAAUCGGAAUUACUGGGCGUAAAGCGUGCGCAGGCGGUUUUGUAAGUCUGUCGUGAAAUCCCCGGGCUCAACCUGGGAAUUGCGAUGGAGACUGCAAGGCUAGAAUCUGGCAGAGGGGGGUAGAAUUCCACGUGUAGCAGUGAAAUGCGUAGAGAUGUGGAGGAACACCGAUGGCGAAGGCAGCCCCCUGGGUCAAGAUUGACGCUCAUGCACGAAAGCGUGGGGAGCAAACAGGAUUAGAUACCCUGGUAGUCCACGCCCUAAACGAUGUCUACUAGUUGUUCGGUUUUAAUUACGUUGGUAACGCAGCUACGUCGUGAGUAGCGCCGNGGAGGUACGGUCGUCGAGAGUUAAACGUUACUAAGUUAGUUAGUAGAGNGNGAGAGNGCGAGGACGACGACGAGGGAGAGG
This 622-nucleotide ribosomal RNA is filed under the name uncultured bacterium. RNAcentral's name for it is "bacterial SSU rRNA". The stretch from base 1 to 539 matches the Rfam family "Bacterial small subunit ribosomal RNA", at positions 338 to 873 of the family's 1533-position model. The record is from RNAcentral.